CCGGCGACCGGCGGACGGGUCGUAACGCGUAUGUAACCUACCUUUGACAGGGGGAUAACAUCGAGAAAUUGGUACUAAUACCCCAUAACAUCACCGGAGGCAUCUUCGGUGGUUGAAAACUCAGGUGGUCAGAGAUGGACAUGCGUUGUAUUAGCUAGUUGGUGAGGUAACGGCUCACCAAGGCGACGAUACAUAGGGGGACUGAGAGGUCAACCCCCCACAUUGGUACUGAGACACGGACCAAACUCCUACGGAAGGCAGCAG
This 264-nucleotide ribosomal RNA is filed under the name uncultured bacterium. Its description in RNAcentral is "partial 16S ribosomal RNA". It matches the Rfam family "Bacterial small subunit ribosomal RNA", at positions 88 to 354 of the family's 1533-position model. The record is from RNAcentral.